RNAcentral lists this ribosomal RNA (344 nucleotides) under uncultured bacterium. RNAcentral describes it as "partial 16S ribosomal RNA". The record is from RNAcentral.
ACGGCUACCUUGUUACGACUUCACCCCAGUCAUGAAUCCCACCGUGGUAAGCGGCCUCCUUACGGUUAGCCUACCUACUUCUGGUGAAACCCACUCCCAUGGUGUGACGGGCGGUGUGUACAAGGCCCGGGAACGUAUUCACCGCGGCAUGCUGAUCCGCGAUUACUAGCGAUUCCGACUUCAUGCACUCGAGUUGCAGAGUGCAAUCCGGACUACGAUCGGUUUUGUGAGAUUGGCACCCCCUCGCGGGUUAGCGACCCUCUGUACCGACCAUUGUAUGACGUGUGAAGCCCUGGUCAUAAGGGCCAUGAGGACUUGACGUCAUCCCCACCUUCCUCCGGUUU